AAGGAAUAUUGCUCAAUGGGAGAAAUCCUGAAGCAGCAACGCCGCGUGGAGGAUGAAGGGUCUAUGACUUGUAAACUCCUGUAAAGAAGGAAAAAAUUCCCAUUAGAUGGGAGAUGAUGGUACUUCUGGAGUAAGCCCCGGCUAACUACGUGCCAGCAGCCGCGGUACUACGUAGGGGGCAAGCGUUGUCCGGAUUUACUGGGUGUAAAGGGUGCUCAGGUGGAUUUGUAAGUCAGAGGUGAAAUCUUACAGCUUAACUGUGAAACUGCCUUUGAUACUGCAAGCCUAGAGUAUGGAAGAGAGUGAUGGAAUAUCUGGUGUAGCAGUGAAAUGCGUAGAUAUCAGAUAGAACACCAAUGGCGAAGGCAGUCACUUGGUCCAUUACUGACGCUAAAGCACGAAAGCGUGGGUAGCAAACA
This 419-nucleotide ribosomal RNA is filed under the name uncultured bacterium. RNAcentral describes it as "bacterial SSU rRNA". It matches the Rfam family "Bacterial small subunit ribosomal RNA", at positions 356 to 774 of the family's 1533-position model. The record is from RNAcentral.